UCUCAUUUUAGAUCACCUAUCAAGCUUUUCCUAUCACGAAAAUCUGCAAAACGAUUUUCUUGUGAUGGUGUCAUGGAUCGCCAUUGAAGUUUCAUAUUGAAACCUCAUAACGUAAGGACGGAGAUAUACCCUAAGAGUUUAGAAAACAUUAUUGCAACUGACAUCACCAUACAGAAGAAUAUUUGAAAUGGAUAAAAUAUACAGACCCCACGAAAUAUGAUUUCUUUAACGGCAUCUGAAUCAACAAUUCUUCCUUCUGAAUCCUUACUUUUGUCCCAUUGUUCUUGUGUUAAAGAUACUGGUGGAUGAUGGACAUCAAUCGUAAAGGAAGAGUUAAACAAAUCUGCUACUGCUUCUUCAACCGGUCUUCUUGCUGGUUCCUUAUAUACUGAAAUAUAUAAUUAGAUUUAUAUGUCAUAUUU
Vespa crabro (European hornet) is the source of this 422-nucleotide long non-coding RNA. RefSeq lists it as uncharacterized. Lineage: Eukaryota; Metazoa; Arthropoda; Insecta; Hymenoptera; Vespidae. The record is from RefSeq and is a predicted model, not a curated record. The transcript has 3 exons.